This is a long non-coding RNA of Odocoileus virginianus texanus, 310 nucleotides long. RefSeq lists it as uncharacterized. The record is from RefSeq and is a predicted model, not a curated record. NCBI's taxonomy places the organism in Eukaryota, Metazoa, Chordata, Mammalia, Artiodactyla, Cervidae.
CCUAUCCACACACAAGGCAGUCCAGAAGUACUGGGGAAUUAAUGUCCCUUGAGAGCAGCCCUCAGCCAAUGCCUGACAGCAUUUGGGAAACCCUCCCUUGUGAGAAAGAGCGAAAACAUCACAGCUAUGUUGAAGAAUUAAGAUUUUCCUUAAACUCAAGGGAUAGAACAGAGACAAGGGAAGAAUGCCACAGGUCAAGGUCACAGUCACCUUAUGACCUCGUGCACCCCAGCAACCUUCCUCACCUUGGGGUCCAGAAAGGCCUCGGGGGCCUCUUUCUCCCUGUGGAAUAAAGGCACACAUAGAGACA